CCUACGGGUGGCAGCAGUGAGGAAUAUUGGUCAAUGGGCGCGAGCCUGAUCCAGCGACGCAGCGUGAAGGAUGAAUGCCCUCCGGGUUGUAAACUUCUUUUAUAAAGGAGUAAAGUGAGGCACGUGUGCCUUUUUGUAUGUACUUUAUGAAUAAGGAUCGGCUAACUCCGUGACAGCAGCCGCGGUAAUACGGAGGAUACGAGCGUUAUCCGGAUUUAUUGGGUUUAAAGGGAGCGUAGAUGGGUUGUUAAGUCAGUUGUGAAAGUUUGCGGCGCAACCCUAGAAUUGCAAUUGAUACUGGCAGCCUUGAGUACAGUAGAGGGAAGCGGAAUUCGUGGUGUAGCGGUGAAAUGCGUAGAUAUCACGAAGAACACCGAUGGCGAAGGCAGCCUACUAAACUGCCACUGACAUUGAUGCUCGAAAGUGUGGGGAUCAAACAGGAUUAGAUACCCUGGUAGUC
This 460-nucleotide ribosomal RNA is filed under the name uncultured bacterium. RNAcentral describes it as "partial 16S ribosomal RNA". It matches the Rfam family "Bacterial small subunit ribosomal RNA", at positions 338 to 795 of the family's 1533-position model. The record is from RNAcentral.